RNAcentral lists this long non-coding RNA (269 nucleotides) under Physcomitrium patens. RNAcentral's name for it is "long non-coding RNA (PPAT_LNC009141)". Lineage: Eukaryota; Viridiplantae; Streptophyta; Bryopsida; Funariales; Funariaceae. The record is from RNAcentral.
AAAAGCAAAACUCAAAAAGGCUGACGGGAAAGUAAAAAGAGAAAAGGAAAAAAGAUAAGCCUCGAGCACAGGAAGUGGUGAGCUCAGCCUGGCUUCAAGCUUCGCUUUCAUCCAACAAUAUUCAUCGACGCACGGUAUUCAUUCAUCCAUGUGGGCAAACUUAGGGGGACCUUUUGCAUGGUCUCUUCAUUCAAUGAUCCUUAUUUUUCUUUUCUUUUCUUUUCUCUUUUUUGUUAAAGUAUUGUUGAUGUUUUGUUGUUCUACAAUAG